This 292-nucleotide ribosomal RNA is filed under the name uncultured bacterium. RNAcentral's name for it is "partial 16S ribosomal RNA". It matches the Rfam family "Bacterial small subunit ribosomal RNA", at positions 505 to 796 of the family's 1533-position model. The record is from RNAcentral.
GUGCCAGCCGCCGCGGUAAUACGUAGGUGGCAAGCGUUGUCCGGAUUUACUGGGCGUAAAGAGCGCGCAGGCGGUCGACUAAGUCGAGUGUGAAAGCCCCCGGCUCAACUGGGGAGGGUCACUCGAUACUGGUCGACUCGAAGGCAGGAGAGGGAAGUGGAAUUCCCGGUGUAGUGGUGAAAUGCGUAGAUAUCGGGAGGAACACCAGUGGCGAAGGCGACUUCCUGGCCUGUUCUUGACGCUGAGGCGCGAAAGCUAGGGGAGCAAACGGGAUUAGAAACCCCCGUAGUCC